GAUGAACGCUAGCGGGAGGCCUAACACAUGCAAGCCGAGCGGUAUGGAUAGCUUGCUAUCCAGAGAGCGGCGUACGGGUGCGUAACACGUGUGCAACCUACCUUUAUCUGGGGGAUAGCCUUUCGAAAGGAAGAUUAAUACCCCAUAAUAUAAUGAUUGGCAUCAAUUAUUAUUGAAAACUCCGGUGGAUAGAGAUGGGCACGCGCAAGAUUAGAUAGUUGGUGAGGUAACGGCUCACCAAGUCAAUGAUCUUUAGGGGUCCUGAGAGGGAGAUCCCCCACACUGGGACUGAGACACGGACCAGACUCCUACGGGAGGCAGCAGUGAGGAAGAUUGGACAAUGGGUGAGAGCCUGAUCCAGCCAUCCCGCGUGAAGGAUGACGGUCCUAUGGAUUGUAAACUUCUUUUGGACAGGGAUAAACCUACCCUCGUGAGGGUAGCUGAAGGUACUGUACGAAUAAGCACCGGCUAACUCCGUG
Molecule: ribosomal RNA, 479 nt
Filed under: uncultured bacterium
Lineage: Bacteria
Description: partial 16S ribosomal RNA
Rfam family: Bacterial small subunit ribosomal RNA
Source: RNAcentral